This 68-nucleotide transfer RNA is filed under the name Marmota monax (woodchuck). RNAcentral describes it as "tRNA.Ser". The record is from RNAcentral. Lineage: Eukaryota; Metazoa; Chordata; Mammalia; Rodentia; Sciuridae.
GUUGUGGCUUAGUGGUAGAGUGCUCGCCUAGAACGUGCGAGGCCCUGGGUUUGAUCCUCAGCACCACA